UAGAAAAAUAAGCUAAAAAUAAGCUAUUGGAUUCAUAAUUCAAUUAUAGAAACAAUCUUUUUUCU
This 65-nucleotide transfer RNA is filed under the name Allocarsidara bakeri. RNAcentral's name for it is "tRNA-Met". The record is from RNAcentral. Lineage: Eukaryota; Metazoa; Arthropoda; Insecta; Hemiptera; Carsidaridae.